Molecule: ribosomal RNA, 492 nt
Filed under: uncultured bacterium
Lineage: Bacteria
Description: partial 16S ribosomal RNA
Rfam family: Bacterial small subunit ribosomal RNA
Source: RNAcentral
GAUGAACGCUAGCUACAGGCUUAACACAUGCAAGUCGAGGGGAAACGGCAUCGAAAGCUUGCUUUUGAUGGGCGUCGACCGGCGCACGGGUGAGUAACGCGUAUCCAACCUGCCCAUCACUUGGGAAUAACCUUGCGAAAGUAAGACUAAUGCCCAAUGAAAUCCCACGAAGGCAUCCGAAUGGGAUUUAAGAUUUAUCGGUGAUGGAUGGGGAUGCGUCUGAUUAGCUUGUUGGCGGGGUGACGGCCCACCAAGGCAACGAUCAGUAGGGGUUCUGAGAAGAAGGCACCCCACAUUGGAAAUGAGACACGGUCCAAACUCGUACGGGAGGCAGCAGUGAGGAAUAUUGGUCAAUGGGCGAGAGCCUGAACCAGCCAAGUAGCGUGCAGGAUGACGGCCCUAUGGGUUGUAAACUGCUUUUAUAAGGGAAUAAAGUGGGUCACGUGUGACUUUUUGCAUGUACCUUAUGAAUAAGGACCGGCUAAUUCCGUG